UGUUUUGCCGUGAUGAUUCCGCUAGGACGGUAUAUGAGCGACGGGUCCGCCCGCCGCGUGAUUAUACCCAAUCUGAGAAUAACAUCUGAGCAAGCA
Triticum aestivum (bread wheat) is the source of this 96-nucleotide non-coding RNA. The record is from Rfam. NCBI's taxonomy places the organism in Eukaryota, Viridiplantae, Streptophyta, Magnoliopsida, Poales, Poaceae.